This 264-nucleotide unclassified non-coding RNA is filed under the name Hevea brasiliensis (rubber tree). Lineage: Eukaryota; Viridiplantae; Streptophyta; Magnoliopsida; Malpighiales; Euphorbiaceae. The record is from RNAcentral.
UUCUAAAGAAUAUGCAUGGGUCAUCAAAAAGAGUUGAUGUGCAAAAGGGUAUUAAUCAUCAAGUAGAUCGAGACCUUAAUCCGAUCAAGCAUAUAAUGUAGCAAACUAUUGUAUAUAUUCAGCUAUAGAUAUUUUGAACAGGCUUAAGUGUCCUAUUAGACAAGAAUAUAUAUGAGCUUAAUAUUACCUCAUCCAUUUGUCUAAAGAAUAUGUAUGGGUCAUCAAAAAGAGUUGAUAAUUCUCCUGUAACUCUUAAAGUAUAGG